Molecule: ribosomal RNA, 514 nt
Filed under: Lyomyces leptocystidiatus
Lineage: Eukaryota; Fungi; Basidiomycota; Agaricomycetes; Hymenochaetales; Schizoporaceae
Description: SSU rRNA
Rfam family: Bacterial small subunit ribosomal RNA
Source: RNAcentral
UAACUGAAUCAACGGUGUGUCAUCGUUGAUAAGGUAAAGGAAAAGAAAUGAUAUUACUUUACUAUUAGUGUCGUCCAAGUACUCGUGCCAGAAGACUCGGUAAGGCGAGAGACGCAAACGUUAGUCGUCUUAAUCAGGCGUAAAGGGUUUGUAGGCAGCUUUAAAAUUUUAUUCUACAACAGAUAGGAUAAAUCAAUUAAAGCUAGAAUCAAGUAGAGGUUAAUUAAAUAAUGUUUGAAUAUAGGGUUGAAAUCUUUAGAAUUCAAAUGGAAUACUAACGGCGAAGGCUUUUUUCCAAUAAUGAUUGACGCUGAGAAACUAAGGUGAGGAAAGAAAAAAGGAUUAGAGACCCUCGUAUCCCUCACUGUCAACGAUGAAUGGUAGUUACUAGAUAAAGAAUCUAGAGACGAUGUUAACACGAAAACCAUUCCGCCUUGUGAGUACGACUGCAAAGUUGAAAACAAAAAAAUUAGUCGGUUUCGGAGCAAACGAAGUGAAGCAUGUUAUUUAAUUG